Molecule: ribosomal RNA, 253 nt
Filed under: uncultured bacterium
Lineage: Bacteria
Description: partial 16S ribosomal RNA
Rfam family: Bacterial small subunit ribosomal RNA
Source: RNAcentral
UACGUAGGGGGCUAGCGUUGUCCGGAAUCAUUGGGCGUAAAGCGCGUGUAGGCGGUCCGGUAAGUCCGCUGUGAAAGUCGAGGGCUCAACCCUCGAAUGCCGGUGGAUACUGUCGGGCUUGAGUACGGGAGAGGCGUGUGGAAUUCCGGGUGUAGUGGUGAAAUGCGUAGAGAUCCGGAGGAACACCAGUGGCGAAGGCGACACGCUGGGCCGUACCUGACACUGAACCGCGACAGCAUGGGGAGCAAACAGG